GAUGAACGCUGGCGGCGUGCCUAAUACAUGCAAGUCGAGCGAACGGACGAGAAGCUUGCUUCUCUGAUGUUAGCGGCGGACGGGUGAGUAACACGUGGAUAACCUACCUAUAAGACUGGGAUAACUUCGGGAAACCGGAGCUAAUACCGGAUAAUAUUUUGAACCGCAUGGUUCAAAAGUGAAAGACGGUCUUGCUGUCACUUAUAGAUGGAUCCGCGCUUCAUUAGGUAGUUGGUAAGGUAACGGCUUACGAAGGGAACGAUGGAUAGCCGACCUGAGAGGGUGAUCGGCACCGCUGGAGCUGAGACACGGUCCAGACACCUACGGGAGGCAGCAGUAGGGAAUCCUGCGCAAUGGGCGAAAGCCUGACGGAGCAACGCCGCGUGAGUGAUGAAGGUCUUCGGAUCGUAAAACUCUGUUCUUAGGGAAGAACAUAUGUGUAAGUAACUGUGCACAUCUUGACGGUACCUAAGCAGAAAGCCACGGCUAACUACGU
This 496-nucleotide ribosomal RNA is filed under the name uncultured bacterium. RNAcentral's name for it is "partial 16S ribosomal RNA". It matches the Rfam family "Bacterial small subunit ribosomal RNA", at positions 28 to 506 of the family's 1533-position model. The record is from RNAcentral.